ACUGCGAGUGAAGCGGGAAAAGCUCAAAUUUAAAAUCUGGCGGUCUUUGGCUGUCCGAGUUGUAAUCUAGAGAAGUGUUAUCCGCGUCGGACCGUGUAAAAGUCUCCUGGAAUGGAGCAUCACAGAGGGUGAGAAUCCCGUCUUUGACAUGGACUACCGGUGCUUUGUGAUGCACUCUCAAAGAGUCGAGUUGUUUGGGAAUGCAGCUCAAAAUGGGUGGUAAAUUCCAUCUAAAGCUAAAUAUUGGCGAGAGACCGAUAGCGAACAAGUACCGUGAGGGAAAGAUGAAAAGAACUUUGGAAAGAGAGUUAAACAGUACGUGAAAUUGCUGAAAGGGAAACGCUUGAAGUCAGUCGCGUUGACCAGAAAUCAACCUUGCUUUUGCUGGGCGUACUUUCUGGUUGAUGGGUCAGCAUCAAUUUUGACCGUUGGAGAAAGUUCAAGGGAAUGUGGCAUCUUCGGAUGUGUUAUAGCCCUUGUUCGUAUACAGCGGUUGGGAUUGAGGAACUCAGCACGCCGUAAGGCCUGGUUUCGACCAUGUUCGUGCUUAGGAUGCUGGCAUAAUGGCUUUAAUCGACCCGUCUUGAAACACGGACCAAGGAGUCUAACAUGCCUGCGAGUGUUUGGGUGGAAAACCCAAGCGCGCAAUGAAAGUGAAAGUUGAGAUCCCUGUCGUGGGGAGCAUCGACGCCCGGACCAGACCUUUUGUGACGGAUCCGCGGUAGAGCAUGUAUGUUGGGACCCGAAAGAUGGUGAACUAUGCCUGAAUAGGGUGAAGCCAGAGGAAACUCUGGUGGAG
This 799-nucleotide ribosomal RNA is filed under the name Conocybe bispora. RNAcentral describes it as "eukaryotic LSU rRNA". It matches the Rfam family "Eukaryotic large subunit ribosomal RNA", at positions 86 to 872 of the family's 3401-position model. The record is from RNAcentral. Lineage: Eukaryota; Fungi; Basidiomycota; Agaricomycetes; Agaricales; Bolbitiaceae.